GGAGUAAAAGUCGUAACAAGGUUUCCGUAGGUGAACCCGCGGAAGGAUCAUUAUUGUAUAACCGAGGUGCGAGGGCUGUCGCUGACCCGAAAGGUCGUGCACGCCCGAGUGCCCUCACACACAUCCAUCUCACCCCUAUGUGCACCACCGCGUGGGUCCCCCUUUGGCUUGUUCGGAGGGGGGCUUACGUUUUCACACAAACUUUGUAUGCAGUGUAGAAUGUAUUUUUUGUUUUUGCGAUCACGCAAUCAAUACAACUUUCAACAACGGAUCUCUUGGCUCUC
RNAcentral lists this unclassified non-coding RNA (284 nucleotides) under plant metagenome. RNAcentral's name for it is "partial contains small subunit ribosomal RNA, internal transcribed spacer 1, and 5.8S ribosomal RNA". The stretch from base 1 to 53 matches the Rfam family "Eukaryotic small subunit ribosomal RNA", at positions 1779 to 1831 of the family's 1831-position model. The record is from RNAcentral.